ACCUACGGGACGCAGCAGUGGGGGAUAUUGCACAAUGGGGGGAACCCUGAUGCAGCGACGCCGCGUGGGUGAAGAAGCGCCUCGGCGCGUAAAGCCCUGUCAGCAGGGAAGAAAAUGACGGUACCUGAAGAAGAAGCCCCGGCUAACUACGUGCCAGCAGCCGCGGUAAUACGUAGGGGGCAAGCGUUAUCCGGAUUUAUUGGGUGUAAAGGGCGUGUAGGCGGGAAUGCAAGGCAGAUGUGAAAACCUAGGGCUCAACCCUGAGCCUGCAUUUGAAACAGUAUUUCUUGAGGGGUGGAGAGGAG
Molecule: ribosomal RNA, 305 nt
Filed under: uncultured bacterium
Lineage: Bacteria
Description: bacterial SSU rRNA
Rfam family: Bacterial small subunit ribosomal RNA
Source: RNAcentral